Molecule: ribosomal RNA, 492 nt
Filed under: uncultured bacterium
Lineage: Bacteria
Description: partial 16S ribosomal RNA
Rfam family: Bacterial small subunit ribosomal RNA
Source: RNAcentral
AGUGAACGCUGGCGGUAGGCCUAACACAUGCAAGUCGAACGGCAGCACAGUAAGAGCUUGCUCUUACGGGUGGCGAGUGGCGGACGGGUGAGGAAUACAUCGGAAUCUACUUUUUCGUGGGGGAUAACGUAGGGAAACUUACGCUAAUACCGCAUACGACCUACGGGUGAAAGCAGGGGAUCUUCGCACCUUGCGCGACUGAAUGAGCCGAUGUCGGAUUAGCUAGUUGGCGGGGUAAAGGCCCACCAAGGCGACGAUCCGUAGCUGGUCUGAGAGGAUGAUCAGCCACACUGGAACUGAGACACGGUCCAGACUCCUACGGGAGGCAGCAGUGGGGAAUAUUGGACAAAGGGCGCAAGCCUGAUCCAGCCAUACCGCGUGGGUGAAGAAGGCCUUCGGGUUGUAAAGCCCUUUUGUUGGGAAAGAAAAGCAGCAGGUUAAUACCCCGCUGUUCUGACGGUACCCAAAGAAUAAGCACCGGCUAACUUCGUG